CAAGAGCGUAUGUAAAAGUUGUUGCAGUUAAAAAGCUCGUAGUUGAACCUUGGGUUUGGUUGGCCGGUCCGCUUUUUUGCGAGUACUGGAUUCAACCGAGCCUUUCCUUCUGGCUAACCAGUCGUUUCGGCGGCUGGCGAACCAGGAUUUUUACUUUGAGAAAAUUAGAGUGUUCAAAGCAGGCAUUAGCUUGAAUAUAUUAGCAUGGAAUAAUAGAAUAGGACGUUAUGGUUCUAUUUUGUUGGUUUCUAGGACCAUCGUAAUGAUUAAUAGGGACGGUCGGGGGCAUCAGUAUUCAGUUGACAGAGGUGAAAUUCUUGGAUUUACUGAAGACUAACUACUGCGAAAGCAUUUGCCAAGGACGUUUUCAUUAA
This 374-nucleotide ribosomal RNA is filed under the name uncultured eukaryote. RNAcentral's name for it is "partial 18S ribosomal RNA". It matches the Rfam family "Eukaryotic small subunit ribosomal RNA", at positions 592 to 976 of the family's 1831-position model. The record is from RNAcentral.